GGUUUACGGAAGUCAACCAGAAAGUCACGGCUAACUACGUGCCAGCAGCCGCGGAAUACGUAGGUGGGCAAGCGUUGUCCGGAGUUUAUUUGGGCGUAAAGCGAGCGCAGGCGAAUGAUAAGUCUGAUGUGAAAGCCCACGGCUCAACCGUGGAACUGCAUCGGAAACUGUCAUCUUGAGUGCAGAAGAGGAGAGUGGAACUCCAUGUGUAGCGGUGGAAUGCGUAGAUAUAUGGAAGAACACCAGUGGCGAAGGCGGCUCUCUGGUCUGCAACUGACGCUGAGGCUCGAAAGCAUGGGUAGCGAACAGGAUUAGAUACCCUGGUAGUCCAUGCCGUAAACGAUGAGCGCUAGGUGUUGGGGACUUUCCGGUCCUCAGUGCCGCAGCAAACGCAUUAAGCGCUCCCGCCUGGGGAGUACGACCGCAAAGGUUGAAACUCAAAGGAAUUGACGGGGGCCCGCACAAGCGGUGGAGCAUGUGGUUUAAUUCGAAGCAACGCGAAGAACCUUACCAGGUCUUGACAUCCU
This 527-nucleotide ribosomal RNA is filed under the name uncultured compost bacterium. Its description in RNAcentral is "bacterial SSU rRNA". It matches the Rfam family "Bacterial small subunit ribosomal RNA", at positions 467 to 990 of the family's 1533-position model. The record is from RNAcentral.